CUGUAUGUUUAGGUAACUAUUACUGAUUGUCAGACAACACAAAACGAAUUAGAUCUGAUCGAAGCUCUAUUUGACAAUGACGUUGAAGAGAAAACUGAUCUGGUGAUAGAUGCAAUAUGGGAUAUUUCGGACAACAAGAAAAACGGAUCCAUUCCUAUUAGACGUUUGGCCCAUAACAUAUUCGGUACACACCGCGAAAACAUAUCUGGCUGGUUAAAAGAACAUCGAGGGUUAAUCUUUGUAGAUAACAAUAUAGAAAGAAUAAACCAGACCAACUUUAAAUUGUUGUUGUAUGCCACUAUAAGUCUUCCGGAGCUAAAAGAUAUUUAUAUCAAGUUGAAGAGAGCCAGGGAUGCACUUCAUUAAAUAUUGUACAGUGAUAAAUAUAAAGCAACAUUUGAAACUUUUUAAAUAUAAACACUUUAUUUAAC
Molecule: long non-coding RNA, 431 nt
Organism: Adelges cooleyi (spruce gall adelgid)
Lineage: Eukaryota; Metazoa; Arthropoda; Insecta; Hemiptera; Adelgidae
Exons: 3
Source: RefSeq, a predicted model, not a curated record